UAUUGGAACGUUAUCGAUAAGAAGAGAGCGUCUAGGCGAACAAUGUUCUUAAAGUUUGACCUCAAAUCAGGUAGGAGUACCCGCUGAACUUAAGCAUAUCAAUAAGCGGAGGAAAAGAAACCAACCGGGAUUGCCUUAGUAACGGCGAGUGAAGCGGCAAAAGCUCAAAUUUGAAAUCUGGUACCUUCGGUGCCCGAGUUGUAAUUUGGAGAGGGCAACUUUGGGGCCGUUCCUUGUCUAUGUUCCUUGGAACAGGACGUCAUAGAGGGUGAGAAUCCCGUGUGGCGAGGAGUGCGGUUCUUUGUAAAGUGCCUUCGAAGAGUCGAGUUGUUUGGGAAUGCAGCUCUAAGUGGGUGGUAAAUUCCAUCUAAAGCUAAAUAUUGGCGAGAGACCGAUAGCGAACAAGUACAGUGAUGGAAAGAUGAAAAGAACUUUGAAAAGAGAGUGAAAAAGUACGUGAAAUUGUUGAAAGGGAAGGGCAUUUGAUCAGACAUGGUGUUUUGUGCCCUCUGCUCCUUGUGGGUAGGGGAAUCUC
This 535-nucleotide ribosomal RNA is filed under the name Staphylococcus pseudintermedius. RNAcentral's name for it is "partial 23S ribosomal RNA". The stretch from base 57 to 535 matches the Rfam family "Eukaryotic large subunit ribosomal RNA", at positions 1 to 477 of the family's 3401-position model. Lineage: Bacteria; Bacillati; Bacillota; Bacilli; Caryophanales; Staphylococcaceae. The record is from RNAcentral.